Long non-coding RNA from Felis catus (domestic cat), 1163 nucleotides. RefSeq lists it as uncharacterized. The record is from RefSeq and is a predicted model, not a curated record. The transcript is spliced from 3 exons. Lineage: Eukaryota; Metazoa; Chordata; Mammalia; Carnivora; Felidae.
UCAAGAUCUCGCGAUGUGAGGCCUCUGGGAAGAGUGGUUUCUCCCAAGAUCCAGCAGAUCCGGCUUUCUCCAGGCAGAGUCGUCUCUCCUGCAGCACCUGCUACUCGCUGCUGUUUCAGCUGUCCUCUGAGCCACCCCGGUGCUUAGCAAAUCCCAGCCCUACCGCUUCCUGCCCCAGAUAUUGAUGUCAGAUAUCCAAUAUAUAUUCACUAAAUUAUCUUCAUUCUCUUGGAAGAAAGGACCUUACAUUUUUUAAAGUCCAGUAUAGACAAUUUCUCCCCUCACUAAAACAUAACCUAGCUCAUCCUCCACCCCCUCACUUAGGAAUGGCCUGGAAAAAAUACAGAUGAGGCCAUUAUCUUUCCAGGCCAAACAAGAGGAAAACAAUAAAAGAAACAUUUAAAGUAUGAAGUUUUGAUCAGCUGUCUUGGGUAGAAAAGCAGUCUAUGUCAAUGUCAGGUAUUUAUUUUCCUCAGCAGUUAGAUUUAGAGAUCUCCAGCAUCUGUACAGGACCAGGUAUCAGGUAUGUGGUGUGUACCCAAGCCUUAAUACCUUCUGGUUUUAAAGCAUUAUCAGUAGUCACGAGCACUUGGUAAGGUCUUUUCCAGGUGGGCAUGAGAGCUGUUCUGCUCUGAUAAAGUUUCCAAAAUGAUCCUCAGGCCAAUAGGUUGUGAUCAACAAGAUCCUUCAAACUGGAAUCCAGGAAGACUUCAUUAAUCUGCUAAUAGUUGUGAGCAUAGGAUAUUAGAGACUUACAGUAGCCGCUCAUACCAGCAUAAUCCCCUCUAUAUCCAUUCAUAUCGUCAAAAAUGCAAAUUCUCAUUCUUUUUUAUGGCUGAAUAAUAUUCCUCUGUGUGUGUGUGUGUGUGUGUGUGUGUGUGUGUGUGUGUAUCACAUCUCUUUAUCCAUUUGUCUAUUGAUGGAAAUUUGGGUUAUUUCUAUAUCUUGACUAUUAUAAGUGACAUUGCAAUAACAUAGGAGUGUUUAUAUCUUUUUUGGAUGUAAUAUUUUCAUUUUCCUUGGGUAAAUACCCAGUGGUGGAAGUACUCAGUCCUAUGGCAUUUCCAUGUUUAAUUUUCAGAGGAAUCACUAUACUGUUUUCCACAGUGGCCAUACCAGUUUACAUUGCCACCAACAGUGCAAGAGGAUUCCUUCUCUACAUC